Molecule: unclassified non-coding RNA, 200 nt
Filed under: Lepiota sp.
Lineage: Eukaryota; Fungi; Basidiomycota; Agaricomycetes; Agaricales; Agaricaceae
Description: partial internal transcribed spacer 2
Source: RNAcentral
UUAAGUUCAGCGGGUAGUCCUACCUGAUUUGAGGUCAAACAUUCAACUGUUGUCUACGAAGAGACGAUUAGAAGCUGAACAAGACAGAGAGCAGCAGCCUCGGUGUAGAUAAUUAUCACACCAGUGACAGACCGCAAACGGUUCCGCUAAUGCAUUUCAGAGGAGCUGACCCAGCAAAUGAGGGCCAGCAGGAGCCUCCA